This 592-nucleotide ribosomal RNA is filed under the name uncultured Sebacinales. Its description in RNAcentral is "eukaryotic LSU rRNA". The stretch from base 173 to 326 matches the Rfam family "5.8S ribosomal RNA". Lineage: Eukaryota; Fungi; Basidiomycota; Agaricomycetes; Sebacinales. The record is from RNAcentral.
GCUGGUGGAGACACAUGUGCACGGUUAGCAAGUCGCAAAUCCACACACCUGUGCAUUUUAUGACUCUGAGUCGCCGUUUUGCGUGGUCCCUCACCGGGCCUGGUGACUCGAGUACUUUUACACACUCUUGAAUGUAAUGGAAUGUCUAUUGUGCAUAAUGUACAACUAAAACAACUUUCAACAACGGAUCUCUUGGCUCUCGCAUCGAUGAAGAACGCAGCGAAAUGCGAUAAGUAAUGUGAAUUGCAGAAUUCAGUGAAUCAUCGAAUCUUUGAACGCACCUUGCACCCUUUGGUAUUCCGAAGGGUACACCCGUUUGAGUGUCAUUGUAAUCUCACUACAACUGCUUUUGUUGUUGUACGUGGAAUUGGAUGCUGCCGUGUAACCAAUGGCUCGUCUGAAAUGCCUGAGUGUAUCCUGCUUUGCGGCGUAUUCGGUGUGAUACAUCUUCACCGGAGUUUGAUCCUUUUCGGGUUGCGUCUGCUUAACUAUGGCUCUAUGCUUCAAACCGUCUUGACAAGACAAUACUCUGACAAUUUGACCUCAAAUCGGGUGGGACUACCCGCUGAACUUAAGCAUAUCAAUAAGCGGA